GUGUCAGCCGCCGCGGUAACACGUAGGGCGCAAGCGUUGUCCGGAAUUAUUGGGCGUAAAGAGCUCGUAGGCGGUCUGUUGCGUCCGCUGUGAAAACCCGGGGCUUAACCCUGGGCUGGCAGUGGAUACGGACAGACUAGAGGUAGGUAGGGGAGAAUGGAAUUCCCGGUGUAGCGGUGAAAUGCGCAGAUAUCGGGAGGAACACCGGUGGCGAAGGCGGUUCUCUGGGCCUUACCUGACGCUGAGGAGCGAAAGCGUGGGGAGCGAACAGGAUUAGAUACCCUUGUAGUCC
This 292-nucleotide ribosomal RNA is filed under the name uncultured bacterium. RNAcentral describes it as "partial 16S ribosomal RNA". It matches the Rfam family "Bacterial small subunit ribosomal RNA", at positions 505 to 796 of the family's 1533-position model. The record is from RNAcentral.